RNAcentral lists this non-coding RNA (30 nucleotides) under Rattus norvegicus (Norway rat). Lineage: Eukaryota; Metazoa; Chordata; Mammalia; Rodentia; Muridae. The record is from RNAcentral.
UGGUUUGUACCAAGAUGUCCUCACCACGUU